Molecule: transfer RNA, 69 nt
Filed under: Cercopithecus petaurista petaurista
Lineage: Eukaryota; Metazoa; Chordata; Mammalia; Primates; Cercopithecidae
Description: tRNA-His
Rfam family: tRNA
About the family: Transfer RNA (tRNA) molecules are approximately 80 nucleotides in length. Their secondary structure includes four short double-helical elements and three loops (D, anti-codon, and T loops).
Source: RNAcentral
GUAAAUAUAGUUUAAUUAAAACAUUAGAUUGUGAACCUAACUAUAGAAGCCCGUCGCUCCUUAUUUACC